GCCAGGUUGGCUGAGUGGUUUAGGCGUCUGCCUGCAGAGCAGAUUUAAGCCGGUUCGAUUCCGGCACCUGGCUCCA
Molecule: transfer RNA, 76 nt
Filed under: Candidatus Bathyarchaeota archaeon
Lineage: Archaea; Thermoproteati; Candidatus Bathyarchaeota
Description: tRNA-Cys
Rfam family: tRNA
About the family: Transfer RNA (tRNA) molecules are approximately 80 nucleotides in length. Their secondary structure includes four short double-helical elements and three loops (D, anti-codon, and T loops).
Source: RNAcentral